AUACGGAGGGUGCAAGCGUUAUCCGGAUUCACUGGGUUUAAAGGGUGCGUAGGCGGAUUAGUAAGUCCGUGGUGAAAUCUCCGAGCUUAACUCGGAAACUGCCGUGGAUACUAUUAAUCUUGAAUGUUGUGGAGGUUAGCGGAAUAUGUCAUGUAGCGGUGAAAUGCAUAGAUAUGACAUAGAACACCAAUUGCGAAGGCAGCUGGCUACACAAAUAUUGACGCUGAUGCACGAAAGCGUGGGGAUCAAACAGG
RNAcentral lists this ribosomal RNA (254 nucleotides) under uncultured prokaryote. RNAcentral describes it as "partial 16S ribosomal RNA". It matches the Rfam family "Bacterial small subunit ribosomal RNA", at positions 523 to 776 of the family's 1533-position model. The record is from RNAcentral.